Molecule: unclassified non-coding RNA, 168 nt
Filed under: soil metagenome
Description: partial internal transcribed spacer 1
Source: RNAcentral
CCGAGUUCAGUGCCCUCGCGGGCUAUAUCUCCCACCCUUGUGUAUUUAUACCUUGUUGCUUUGGCAGGCCGCUGGCUUGACCCACCGGCUCUGAGCUGGUCAGUGCCCUGCCAGAGGACCUCCAAACUCUGUUUCUGUUAAUCUGUCUGAGUACUAUACUAAUCGUUA